This 666-nucleotide ribosomal RNA is filed under the name uncultured Bacilli bacterium. Its description in RNAcentral is "bacterial SSU rRNA". It matches the Rfam family "Bacterial small subunit ribosomal RNA", at positions 85 to 739 of the family's 1533-position model. Lineage: Bacteria; Bacillati; Bacillota; Bacilli. The record is from RNAcentral.
UUCCGGAUGAGUUGCGAACGGGUGAGUAACGCGUAGGUAACCUGCCUGGUAGCGGGGGAUAACUAUUGGAAACGAUAGCUAAUACCGCAUGACAACAGUUAUUGCAUGAUAGCUGUUUAAAAGGGGCAACUGCUCCACUACCAGAUGGACCUGCGUUGUAUUAGCUAGUUGGUGAGGUAACGGCUCACCGAGGCGACGAUACAUAGCCGACCUGAGAGGGUGAUCGGCCACACUGGGACUGAGACACGGCCCAGACUCCUACGGGAGGCAGCAGUAGGGAAUCUUCGGCAAUGGACGGAAGUCUGACCGAGCAACGCCGCGUGAGUGAAGAAGGUUUUCGGAUCGUAAAGCUCUGUUGUAAGAGAAGAACGAGUGUGAGAGUGGAAAGUUCACACUGUGACGGUAUCUUACCAGAAAGGGACGGCUAACUACGUGCCAGCAGCCGCGGUAAUACGUAGGUCCCGAGCGUUGUCCGGAUUUAUUGGGCGUAAAGCGAGCGCAGGCGGUUAGAUAAGUCUGAAGUUAAAGGCUGUGGCUUAACCAUAGUACGCUUUGGAAACUGUUUAACUUGAGUGCAAGAGGGGAGAGUGGAAUUCCAUGUGUAGCGGUUAAAUGCGUAGAUAUAUGGAGGAACACCGGUGGCGAAAGCGGCUCUCUGGCUUGUAA